GACGAACGCUGGCGGCGUGCUUAACACAUGCAAGUCGAACGGUAAGGCCCUUCGGGGUACACGAGUGGCGAACGGGUGAGUAACACGUGGGUGAUCUGCCCUGCACUUCGGGAUAAGCCUGGGAAACUGGGUCUAAUACCGGAUAGGACCACUGCCUGCAUGGGUGGUGGUGGAAAGCUUUUGCGGUGUGGGAUGGGCCCGCGGCCUAUCAGCUUGUUGGUGGGGGGAUGGCCUACCAAGGCGACGACGGGUAGCCGGCCUGAGAGGGUGACCGGCCACACGGGGACGGAGAUACUGCGCAGACUCCUACGGGAGGCAGCAGUGGGGAAUAUUGCACAAUGGGCGCAAGCCUGAUGCAGCGACGCCGCGUGAGGGAUGACGGCCUUCGGGUUGUAAACCUCUUUCAGCACCGACGAAGCGCAAGUGACGGUAGGUGCAGAAGAAGGACCGGCCAACUACGUGCCAGCCGCCGCCGUAA
RNAcentral lists this ribosomal RNA (478 nucleotides) under uncultured bacterium. RNAcentral describes it as "partial 16S ribosomal RNA". It matches the Rfam family "Bacterial small subunit ribosomal RNA", at positions 28 to 523 of the family's 1533-position model. The record is from RNAcentral.